ACUUGUUUUAGCUCUAGCUACUAUAGAUUUAUUUUAGUAAUCCAUCUUCCAGAUUGUUUAUGAAUUACAAGUGGUGAAAAAGCGAGAUGUUAGUUGAUGAAUAUGGUUGGUGAAAUUCAUCACCAAGUUAUUUUAUCCCACAUAUCCUACAUUUUAUAUCUUUCACGUUGGAUUGUUAUUAAGACUUCUAUUUACCUUGAUCAUUAUAUCUGGAUACAUUUAUAGUCUAUUGAUUUAUAGAACGAAUAACAACCUUUUCCAGGAAGUCCAUGUGUUUUGGCUGCUUUCUUUUACUCUCCUCUUGUUAGCUAUGGGGUUAUGGCUAUACUAUUUCCAUUGUUUGUUCUGACUGCAACAGGCUCAGAAGCAGACAAAGUUAUUGCAUCUCAGAGAAAAAAGUGGAAUGGUGCUCGAUUGGGAAGGAUUCCUAUAUUCUUUUCUUCUGAUUAUUUAUCGAUGAAAGUGCUGUCUCUGUUUCCGAUUGGAUCACACCGACAGGCGCAUGUCCAGAAAGCUCAGUGAUUAUCUGAAUUUGGAUAGGGGCGACGACUGACCAUUCAUGUAAUUCUUCAACAACUAAAGAGAAUAAUUUACCAGUGGAAGAUUUCCAACCUGUAAAUAACCAAGAAAACAAAACAAGUGCUCUAUUUGUUUGUUCAAUGCUGUAUCUGUUUAGCCUGGUGUAAAUUUUAGGGAAUCUCGACGGUGUACUGGCUCUUGAAGGAAUAAUGUAUAAGGUCAUCUGUUUCGCAUGGAUCUGUUCUGGAUGUCUAACUACGACAAACAGUAUCAGAAAUCCCAAGCAUGCCCAUGUAAUUCACAGCAACAUGUUUAAAGAACAAAUAUUUGAAUUUGUCUAUGGUUUUGCUUUUUAA
Long non-coding RNA from Salvia splendens (bonfire salvia), 875 nucleotides. RefSeq lists it as uncharacterized. The transcript is spliced from 4 exons. The record is from RefSeq and is a predicted model, not a curated record. NCBI's taxonomy places the organism in Eukaryota, Viridiplantae, Streptophyta, Magnoliopsida, Lamiales, Lamiaceae.